This 301-nucleotide ribosomal RNA is filed under the name uncultured bacterium. RNAcentral's name for it is "partial 16S ribosomal RNA". It matches the Rfam family "Bacterial small subunit ribosomal RNA", at positions 509 to 808 of the family's 1533-position model. The record is from RNAcentral.
CAGCCGCCGCGGGAAUACGUAGGUCCCGAGCGUUGUCCGGAUCCAUUGGGCGUAAAGCGAGCGCAGGCGGUUAGAUAAGUCUGAAGUUAAAGGCUGUGGCUUAACCAUAGUACGCUUUGGAAACUGUUUAACUUGAGUGCAAGAGGGGAGAGUGGAAUUCCAUGUGUAGCGGUGAAAUGCGUAGAUAUAUGGAGGAACACCGGUGGCGAAAGCGGCUCUCUGGCUUGUAACUGACGCUGAGGCUCGAAAGCGUGGGGAGCAAACAGGAUUAGAUACCCCCGUAGUCCCUGUCUCUUAUACA